Molecule: long non-coding RNA, 554 nt
Organism: Dermacentor albipictus
Lineage: Eukaryota; Metazoa; Arthropoda; Arachnida; Ixodida; Ixodidae
Source: RefSeq, a predicted model, not a curated record
GUGCCUCGUGCCAAACGUAUCCAAGCCAAGACGGUUCAUUAGCAACCGUCCUGCUGUUUCCAUGUGGAUGCGUGUCGUUAGCGUACGGGAGCCAGAAUCGCCGGACGGUUUCAGAAAAUGGACGUGCUAUGCACUCAUAACCAACCUUUCAGCUUUCAGCGGCUAACAGAGGUCUUCAUGUUUUACUGAAGUCUCCGUCGUCUUGAGUGGUCGGCGCCCCUAUUCCAGAGCACCACUGAGCCUGGCCGGCCACUUUGAGAGCGAGUUUCACCAAUCCUUCUUGGACUGUGAGCACGCCACUGUUGGAAGCGAAGCGGCCGCUUUCAAAUACGCAAUAACCGACCUGCUUGCUUCGCCACGAUCCGAAGCGCGGCAGCCCACACUAGCAGACGACGAAAGAGCGUGGUUCACAACGCCCACUGCGCCGACCUGAAUCCUGUUGCAGCUUCCGGCCAGCGGGGCCGCCGCAGAGAAGCCAUGUCUAUAUCUGUGUACUGCUCGGUACAUGCACUUUCACCAUUCGUGUAGUGAAUAUGGAAAUAAAGAGCGUCCUA